CGGGGGGAGCAAGCGUUGUUCGGAUUUACUGGGCGUAAAGGGCGCGUAGGCGGCCUCUGCAAGUCGACUGUGAAAUCUCCGGGCUUAACCCGGAACGGUCAGCCGAUACUGCAGGGCUAGAGUGCAGAAGGGGCAACUGGAAUUCUCGGUGUAGCGGUGAAAUGCGUAGAUAUCGAGAGGAACACCUGCGGCGAAGGCGGGUUGCUGGGCUGACACUGACGCUGAGGCGCGAAAGCUAGGGGAGCGAACGGGAUUAGAUACCCCGGUAGUCCUAGCCUUAAACGAUGAAUGCUUGGUGUCUGGGGUUUUAUAGUCCCCGGGUGCCGUCGCUAACGCUUUAAGCAUUCCGCCUGGGGAUACGGUCGCAAGACUG
RNAcentral lists this ribosomal RNA (373 nucleotides) under uncultured organism. Its description in RNAcentral is "bacterial SSU rRNA". It matches the Rfam family "Bacterial small subunit ribosomal RNA", at positions 526 to 896 of the family's 1533-position model. The record is from RNAcentral.